GCAGGAAAUAUAUGACACCACUCUUAUUGGCACAAUUAUACGCAUAUUUGCCAGCCCAUUGAGCCACGCAACGAAAAAAAUGACACCAGAAGCUCCUAGAAACAGCGUGGAUGCAAAUCUUCAACGUAUCGCCAAUACUCAGUAAUCCAGAAUUCCAGCGCAAUUUACAAAACCAAUAAUGUAUUUACAGGGUCAAAUCAUAAAUUGCAGGAGAAGAUUCAACAAGGUUCAAAGAAGCAAAGAAAAAUUUCUGGCACUUCUGGCCAGUCUGGAGAACAAUUGCCUCCAAACUAAACUGGUCUUCAACAUUCUAUGCCAAAACACAACGAACGUCUAAUGCCCUGUGAGUGGAUACCAGAAUGACACCGCUACGUGCUCAACUUCUGCGAAGCCGAGGAUGAAGGAGACUUUAGAUCGAGGUUUGGGGCAGAAUCCUGCAGUAACGAAGCAUAUAGUCAGAUGAUAACGUAUAUCAGUUUGAC
RNAcentral lists this long non-coding RNA (482 nucleotides) under Coffea arabica (coffee). RNAcentral describes it as "long non-coding RNA (CARA_LNC008375)". The record is from RNAcentral. Lineage: Eukaryota; Viridiplantae; Streptophyta; Magnoliopsida; Gentianales; Rubiaceae.